Long non-coding RNA from Hipposideros armiger (great roundleaf bat), 212 nucleotides. RefSeq lists it as uncharacterized. NCBI's taxonomy places the organism in Eukaryota, Metazoa, Chordata, Mammalia, Chiroptera, Hipposideridae. The record is from RefSeq and is a predicted model, not a curated record. The transcript is spliced from 3 exons.
GCUGUUCGCGUGACUGCCGACAUGCGGUUCGGCGCCAAGCUUUUCUUUGCUUGGGGCAGCGCCCGGAGGCCUUCGGUUUUGAGCCGGGCCUGCAGAGUCUUGAAACGCACUGAUAAAACAUGAGAUGGAAACCAAGAUGAUGUUUGGUUUUAUUUCUUAAAAAUGCAAUGGCUCGAAGGACUUCCGGUAAGAUGGCGGAAUAGACAGACGCU